This is a long non-coding RNA of Suricata suricatta (meerkat), 489 nucleotides long. RefSeq lists it as uncharacterized. The transcript has 3 exons. The record is from RefSeq and is a predicted model, not a curated record. NCBI's taxonomy places the organism in Eukaryota, Metazoa, Chordata, Mammalia, Carnivora, Herpestidae.
CUUGGUUAUACCGUCUGAAACACUGCAUAACAGUAGCGCUAUUGUGGCGAGACAAGUUGGCUCAAGCGAAAAGUCGAGUGAGAGAAUGGCAAGGGCGUCGGGAGAGAGAGUAGCAGAAACCACCACUCCCAGGGCGGCUACCGCAUCCAGAAGGAAGAUCUUGGGAAGAUUCAUAAGACAGCCAACGAAGGCAACGUUGAUUUAGUCCGAAACAUUCUCUGUUUUGGAAUAAAUGGACUAAACGACAGAGAUAGACAGCGCAGCACUAUUACAAUAGCAGUGUAUGAAGAACUCCUCUAGUGGCUUAAGUAAUGGCAGUGUAUCCUUAAGACGGAAUGAUAAGUGAUCACUGAAGGUGGGUGGCCUAGAUUAAAAAAUAAACACAGAGAUGCAGAACUGUGCUUUAGUUGAUCAUUAAGUGAAGAGAAAAAUCAGUUUGUAUGUAUACACAAGCAGACUAUGGUUUUAUGUAAGCCAAAAAAUGUAAAA